AUAUUAAUGAGGCUUUUGAUGUCUUCUUUAAACUGACAUCAAAGAAAAAAUGACAUUAAGGACCUUUAAUAACGCUAGCAUAGAUGGCGGUUGUCAACCGACACUAAAGGCCAUAAUGUCGGUUUAAAGGCCAAAGUUCUUGUAGUGUUUUCUCAGGUGUUGCAGCCGGAAGGAUUCAUCUUCACCUUCUUCCAUGUGCCACAGCUGAAAUGAUUCAUAUUCAUCUUCCAUGUGCCGCAACCGAGAGGGUCAUCAUCUUCAUCUUUGAUGUGCCGCAAUUGAAAGAAUUCAUCUUCCUCUUCCUCCAUGUGUCGCAGCCGAGAAGAUUCAUCUUUAUCUGCUACCAUGUGCCGCAACCGAGAGGAUUUACCUUCAUCUUUCCUCAUGUGUCGCAACCAAGAGGAUUCAUCUUUAUCUUCUCCCAUGUGCUGCAGUCGAGAGGAUUUAUCUUAAUAUUCUCUCAUGUGUUGCCUGAAAGGAUUCAUC
This 486-nucleotide long non-coding RNA is filed under the name Cucumis sativus (cucumber). RNAcentral's name for it is "long non-coding RNA (CSAT_LNC000289)". The record is from RNAcentral. Lineage: Eukaryota; Viridiplantae; Streptophyta; Magnoliopsida; Cucurbitales; Cucurbitaceae.